RNAcentral lists this ribosomal RNA (1485 nucleotides) under human gut metagenome. RNAcentral describes it as "bacterial LSU rRNA". It matches the Rfam family "Bacterial large subunit ribosomal RNA", at positions 497 to 1977 of the family's 2925-position model. The record is from RNAcentral.
AGUACCGUGAGGGAAAGGUGAAAAGAACCGCGGGAGCGGAGUGAAAGAGAACCUGAAACCGUAUGUCUACAAGCAGUCGGAGCGCAAGCGACGGCGUGCCUAUUGAAGAAUGAGCCAACGAGUUACGGGCACCAGCGAGGUUAAGCAGGAAAUGCGGAGCCGGAGCGAAAGCGAGUCUAAACAGGGCGGAUAGUUGGUGUUCGUAGACCCGAAACUGUAGUGAUCUACCCAUGAUCAGGUUGAAGCGCAGGUAAAAAUGCGUGGAGGACCGAACCGGUGAGCGUUGAAAAGCUUUCGGAUGAAUCGUGGGUAGCGGUGAAAUUCCAAUCGAACGCAGAGAUAGCUGGUUCUCCUCGAAAUAGCUUUAGGGCUAGCCUCAAGCAGUAAGCAUAGGCGGUAGAGCACUGAUCGGGAUAGGGUCCGUAAAGGAUACCGAACCCUGUCAAACUACGAAUGGUUAUGCUGCAGAGCUUGGGAGUCAGACUACGAGAGAUAAGUCCCGUUGUCAAAAGGGAAACAGCCCAGACCGUCAGCUAAGGUCCCCAAUGCCAUACUAAGUGGAAAAGGAUGUGGGGUCUCAUAAACAACCAGGAUGUUGGCUCAGAAGCAGCCACCAUUUAAAGAGUGCGUAAUAGCUCACUGGUCGAGAGGCCCUGCGCCGAAGAUUCCCGGGGCUAAAGUAUGGAACCGAAGCUACGGAUGCGGUACUUGUACCGCGUGGUAGAGGAGCGUUCCCAUUGGGUUGAAGUCGUCCUGGAAGGGACGGUGGACUGGUGGGAAGUGAGAAUGUUGGCAUGAGUAGCGAAAAGAUAGGUGAGAAUCCUAUCCACCGAAAGCAUAAGGAUUCCUGAGCAACGAUCGUCGACUCAGGGUAAGUCGGGACCUAAUCCGAGGCAUGGAGCGUAGGAGAUGGACAACUGGUUGAUAUUCCAGUACCGGCAGCAAUCGUUUGAACGAUGGAGUGACGCAGGAAGGCAGGUCCGCGCGAGAAUGGUAGAUCGCGUACAAGCGUGCAGGCUGGUGCACAGGCAAAUCCGUGUACUGAGGCUGAGGCGUGAUGUGGAGGGAACUUGUUCCCGAAGGGAUUGAGCCUACGCUGCCGAGAAAAGCUUCUAGUGAGAAAGCUGCCGCCCGUACCGUAAAACCGACACAGGUAUGCGGGGAGAGAAUCCUAAGGUGCGCGGGAGAACCCUCGUUAAGGAACUCGGCAAAAUGUACCCGUAACUUCGGGAUAAGGGUAGCCACAGUGGUGAAGGGACUUGCUCCUGGAGCCUAGUGUGGUCGCAGAGAAGAGGCCCAAGCGACUGUUAACCAGAAACACAGGUGCCUGCGAAAGAGAAAUCUGAUGUAUAGGUGCUGACACCUGCCCAGUGCUGGAAGGUUAAAGAAGGAUGUCCGGGUUCGACCCAAAGCAUUUGACUGAAGCCCCAGUGAACGGCGGCCGUAACUAUAACGGUCCUAAGGUAGCGAAAUUCCUUGUCGGGU